Molecule: long non-coding RNA, 528 nt
Organism: Vidua chalybeata
Lineage: Eukaryota; Metazoa; Chordata; Aves; Passeriformes; Viduidae
Exons: 3
Source: RefSeq, a predicted model, not a curated record
GGCUGGACUGAUCUUGAACAGCUGUGCGGGGUUACAGCACUUUACUUUUUUUUGCCAUCAUCAAAAGUGGACAAGGUGAUAUCAGAGCUAGCAGAUAUGAUAAUAACAAUCCAUGCGUUUUCAGCUGGACAGACAGCAAAGAGAGUCAGUCAACGGCAUUUAGCACAAAAGUGCUUACAUUGUGGCAUAUGCUUUACUGAUUACAGCAAGUUGAGCCUGCAAAAUUCAUUACCUAGCAGAGGAAGGAUAUUUACAGCAAAGGCAAGCAGAUGAAACUGUCAGAGGAGUGCAAACCAGCUAUUCCGGCCAUGCAUGAAUGCAGUCUCACAGAAACACAUCACUGGUAAUCAAGAUCAGGAUCCAGCAACACAUUCACCUCCUUGAAACAGAUUCCUUUGGAUGGUAUCCCUUGGUAACACACAGACUCAUAAAUAGCAAUUUGAGGAUAAAGAAGACAACUGUACUACUAAAACACUGAGGUAGAUUAAUAUUUAAAGGCUUGAGUUAAUAUGACAGAUUUAAACCCUG